Molecule: long non-coding RNA, 910 nt
Filed under: Homo sapiens (human)
Lineage: Eukaryota; Metazoa; Chordata; Mammalia; Primates; Hominidae
Description: HSALNT0123286
Source: RNAcentral
AGGAGUGACCUAGAAGAGUGAAACACACCUUCAUGAAUAUUCACAGCUCCUCCUGUAACCUGUUAAAUAUGUUUAACCAUUCUGCUAUCAGAUCACCAUAGAAGCUGCGGGUACAACUGAUAGUGCAGAACUUAAUUAUUAAUCAAUUUAAUAGUUAAGAUUGAAUGCUGGCUGGGCACGGUGGUUCACACAUGUAAUCCCAGCACUUUGGGAGGCUGAGGCAGGUGGCUCACAUGAGGCCAGGAGUUCGAGACCAGCCUGGCCAACAUGGUGAAACCCCAUCUCUACUAAAAAUUUUAAAAACCUUAGCCAGGCAUGGUGGUGCACACCUGUAAUCCCAGCUACUCAGGAGGCUGAGGCACGAGAGUUGCUUGAACCCAGGAGGCAGAGGUUGCAGUGAGCUGAGAUCACACUACUACACUCCAGCCUGGGCCACAGAAUGAGUCUCUGUCUCAAAAAAAAAAGAUUGAAUGCUGUGUACUUCCAGGAUAAUUCUGGAAACAUCCUCAGCCCUACAAGACAUGCACAAGCAAACUAAUGCUAUGUCUGAUCCCACAGUGUCUUUAAAUCAAUGGCUCGCCUCAUGAUUCGUAUCCAGCCCCUUCUGAUGGAAAAAGUUGCUCAUGAUUACAGGGAUAGGAUUAUUCUUCUGCUGUGGACUGUAUUGCUGUUACACACUCCCCAUGAUGCUCCAGCGGAUCUCUUCUCUAAGUCCAGGGACUCUUGAGCACUUUCAACCCCGGGUGGAUAGGUUCAUUCCGCGGCCCCCUGACUAUGCCCCUUUUCAAUAGGAAGUAGCCAGAAUGAACCACUUGCCCGUUUUCCAUAGAGACAGAAUGAAACUUGACAGUGGGGAGUUUGCAACCAGGGGCCUCGGUUAUUUAAAUCACCCUCUAUUUUUCUUCCUUCC